AUGUACGUAAAAGUACACUCCGGUUCCUGCGCGCCGCCCGCACCCACCUAGCGGCCGCUCGCUACGUUUUGUUAGCG
Molecule: small RNA, 77 nt
Filed under: Dyella sp. AD56
Lineage: Bacteria; Pseudomonadati; Pseudomonadota; Gammaproteobacteria; Lysobacterales; Rhodanobacteraceae
Also listed under: 1 other name
Description: Xanthomonas sRNA sX9
Rfam family: Xanthomonas sRNA sX9
Source: Rfam by way of RNAcentral